CAGCACCAAGAUAUGGCUUUGACCAAAUCAACUAGCAGAAUCAUCCAAAAAACACAAUGGGCAUCUCAGUUUAUGCAAGUAAAGAAAAUAGUGAGCACCAAAACGGAAUUCAGAGAGGUCUUUGUUGAGAAGGAACACGGCCCUGUGAAGGUGGUUAUGAAGGUUUCAACAAAUUGGUGAAAAAAAGAGGUUCUGCAGCAUUUUCGGUGGGCAUUGAAAGCGAAAGGAAAAGAAGAGAGAGUGAACGGAAGUUGAUGAGGUGAGAGGAGAAGAAAGAAUGUAGAAAUAGGCCAUUUUCAUGAGUAUUUUGGGAGCCGAAGAGGUUAGGCAGGCAGGUGAUGAUGGUUGCCGGGGGGUGGGGG
RNAcentral lists this unclassified non-coding RNA (362 nucleotides) under Hevea brasiliensis (rubber tree). Lineage: Eukaryota; Viridiplantae; Streptophyta; Magnoliopsida; Malpighiales; Euphorbiaceae. The record is from RNAcentral.